This 163-nucleotide ribosomal RNA is filed under the name Schefflera sp. Wen 10747. Its description in RNAcentral is "5.8S ribosomal RNA". It matches the Rfam family "5.8S ribosomal RNA". Rfam says of the family: 5.8S ribosomal RNA (5.8S rRNA) is a component of the large subunit of the eukaryotic ribosome. It is transcribed by RNA polymerase I as part of the 45S precursor that also contains 18S and 28S rRNA. The record is from RNAcentral. Lineage: Eukaryota; Viridiplantae; Streptophyta; Magnoliopsida; Apiales; Araliaceae.
AACGACUCUCGGCAACGGAUAUCUCGGCUCUCGCAUCGAUGAAGAACGUAGCGAAAUGCGAUACUUGGUGUGAAUUGCAGAAUCCCGUGAACCAUCGAGUCUUUGAACGCAAGUUGCGCCCGAAACCAUUAGGUUGAGGGCACGUCUGCCUGGGCGUCACGCA